RNAcentral lists this ribosomal RNA (334 nucleotides) under uncultured eukaryote. RNAcentral's name for it is "partial 18S ribosomal RNA". It matches the Rfam family "Eukaryotic small subunit ribosomal RNA", at positions 1470 to 1796 of the family's 1831-position model. The record is from RNAcentral.
CCCUUAGAUGUCCGGGGCCGCACGCGCGCUACACUGAAGGAAUCAGCGUGGCUUUCUCCCCGACCCGAAAGGGUUGGGAAACCCGUUGAAUCUCCUUCGUGAUAGGGAUUGGGGCUUGAAAUUGUUCCCCAUGAACGAGGAAUUCCCAGUAAGCGCGAGUCAUAAGCUCGCGUUGAUUACGUCCCUGCCCUUUGUACACACCGCCCGUCGCUACUACCGAUUGAACGGUUUAGUGAGGGCCUCGGAUUGGUCUCGGCCCGCUCUUCACCGGGCGGCGCCGUUGGUCGAGAAGACGCUCGAACUUGAUCGUUUAGAGGAAGUAAAAGUCGUAACA